AUCGCGAGAGUUCACCUGCGAGCAGCGCGAUUUACAACGCGAUGCAGGUGCUUCUUAUGAAGUGUGGGAACCGGGAAGUUCUUGUGCAUGAAGCAAGACUUUAAGUUUAAAGUCACAGUGGAGCCACUGAGCAGUGAGACUAAGCGUACUCGUCAGGCUUACAUCUGAAGACCAAACAUCUGUGGUGAAGUUCAUCGCGGUGUGGUUAUGAAGAAGCUCGUGAAUAUGAUCUGUCAUACGGUUGUAUAACUCCGUGCAAGGUGAUGUGAUGUUGAUUCUCAAGAUUGUCUUCACUAUACAGACCCUCUGAGGACCUGAAUGCACUGCUUUGUUACUCUGCCUGUUCAAACACCAUGAAUGAAGCUUCUGCUUGCACACACCAAGAAUUACAAAUGGUGUCUGACUGGAAUGAGUUGUUUUAAUGCCAAUUCCAUCACAAAUAUCACAGAAACAGAGGGCAGCAAGGAUGAAGUGGUUUAGAGGUCAUUGAAAAACAAGCGCUUCCAUUUUGUUCCUUGUGUGUAGAUAAUAAAGUUG
Long non-coding RNA from Ictalurus punctatus (channel catfish), 537 nucleotides. NCBI's taxonomy places the organism in Eukaryota, Metazoa, Chordata, Actinopteri, Siluriformes, Ictaluridae. The record is from Ensembl.